Molecule: transfer RNA, 73 nt
Filed under: Candidatus Thorarchaeota archaeon
Lineage: Archaea; Promethearchaeati; Candidatus Thorarchaeota
Description: tRNA-Asn
Rfam family: tRNA
About the family: Transfer RNA (tRNA) molecules are approximately 80 nucleotides in length. Their secondary structure includes four short double-helical elements and three loops (D, anti-codon, and T loops). Further hydrogen bonds mediate the characteristic L-shaped molecular structure. tRNAs have two regions of fundamental functional importance: the anti-codon, which is responsible for specific mRNA codon recognition, and the 3' end, to which the tRNAs corresponding amino acid is attached (by aminoacyl-tRNA synthetases). tRNAs cope with the degeneracy of the genetic code in two manners: having more than one tRNA (with a specific anti-codon) for a particular amino acid; and 'wobble' base-pairing, i.e. permitting non-standard base-pairing at the 3rd anti-codon position.
Source: RNAcentral
GCCGCCGUGGCUCAGUUGGUAGAGCGACAGCCUGUUAAGUUGUUGGUCGGAGGUUCGAGCCCUCCCGGCGGCG